CUAUAGCCCCGACGUGGUUAACCAAAGGAAGAAAUACGCGGCGGUGAUGUCGGAGCUUUAUAAAAUGGGACUCAAACCAGCACUGCUGUUCCCGGCGCGGCUCCGUAUUACCAAGGCGGACGGCACCCGCACCGCGUUCAGCUCUGUGGCAGAAGCGGAGAAGUUUGCUGAGGACUCUAAAAACUCAUGACUGAUCUGCCUAUUCCAACUUUGCCUCCAGAUCAGGUCACGACCUUGGACGCACCAAUGCAGAUGCAGGAGAUUGUGGAGGCCAUCAAAUCAUUACAACCCAGAAAAUCGCCGGGCCCUGAUGGCCUGCCGAAUACUUACAAGUAAGGCACUUUGUGUCUGCCUCCAUCCCGGGGUUCCCUGCCAAACCUCCUGAUAAUGUCAUAGACGAGGUAAUAUCUUUUAACCCAACCAAAAAAAAA
Long non-coding RNA from Nerophis ophidion (straightnose pipefish), 431 nucleotides. RefSeq lists it as uncharacterized. Lineage: Eukaryota; Metazoa; Chordata; Actinopteri; Syngnathiformes; Syngnathidae. The transcript has 3 exons. The record is from RefSeq and is a predicted model, not a curated record.